Molecule: transfer RNA, 69 nt
Filed under: Lepyrus sp. G312
Lineage: Eukaryota; Metazoa; Arthropoda; Insecta; Coleoptera; Curculionidae
Description: tRNA-Cys
Source: RNAcentral
AUAGUUGUAUAGUCUAAUAAAAAGAUUUUAAAUUGCAAGUUUGAAGAAAAAUUAUAAAUUUUACAACUU